This 464-nucleotide ribosomal RNA is filed under the name Vreelandella stevensii. Its description in RNAcentral is "partial 16S ribosomal RNA". It matches the Rfam family "Bacterial small subunit ribosomal RNA", at positions 339 to 795 of the family's 1533-position model. Lineage: Bacteria; Pseudomonadati; Pseudomonadota; Gammaproteobacteria; Oceanospirillales; Halomonadaceae. The record is from RNAcentral.
CCUCGGGGGGCUGCAGUGGGGAAUAUUGGACAAUGGGCGAAAGCCUGAUCCAGCCAUGCCGCGUGUGUGAAGAAGGCCUUCGGGUUGUAAAGCACUUUCAGUGGGGAAGAAAGCCUUGGGGCUAAUACCCUCGAGGAAGGACAUCACCCACAGAAGAAGCACCGGCUAACUCCGUGCCAGCAGCCGCGGUAAUACGGAGGGUGCGAGCGUUAAUCGGAAUUACUGGGCGUAAAGCGCGCGUAGGCGGUCUGAUAAGCCGGUUGUGAAAGCCCCGGGCUCAACCUGGGAACGGCAUCCGGAACUGUCAGGCUAGAGUGCAGGAGAGGAAGGUAGAAUUCCCGGUGUAGCGGUGAAAUGCGUAGAGAUCGGGAGGAAUACCAGUGGCGAAGGCGGCCUUCUGGACUGACACUGACGCUGAGGUGCGAAAGCGUGGGUAGCAAACAGGAUUAGAUACCCUUGUAGUC